Molecule: ribosomal RNA, 438 nt
Filed under: uncultured bacterium
Lineage: Bacteria
Description: bacterial SSU rRNA
Rfam family: Bacterial small subunit ribosomal RNA
Source: RNAcentral
UGGGGAAUAUUGCGCAAUGGGCGAAAGCCUGACGCAGCGACGCCGCGUGAGGGAUGAAGGUCUUCGGAUCGUAAACCUCUGUCAGCAGGGAAGAAAUUUUAGUGUGCUAAUCAGCAUUAAAUUGACGGUACCUGCAAAGGAAGCACCGGCUAACUCCGUGCCAGCAGCCGCGGUAAUACGGAGGGUGCGAGCGUUAAUCGGAAUUACUGGGCGUAAAGCGCUCGUAGGUGGUAUGUCAAGUCAAGGGUGAAAUCCCCGCGCUCAACGUGGGAACUGCCUUUGAAACUGUUACACUUGAGUGUGUGAGAGGAUAGUGGAAUUCCAGGUGUAGGAGUGAAAUCCGUAGAUAUCUGGAGGAACAUCAGUGGCGAAGGCGACUAUCUGGCACAUAACUGACACUGAGGAGCGAAGCGUGGGUAGCAAACAGGAUUAGAUACC